CCUACGGGAGGCAGCAGUGAGGAAUAUUGGUCAAUGGACGAGAGUCUGAACCAGCCAAGUAGCGUGAAGGAUGACUGCCCUAUGGGUUGUAAACUUCUUUUAUAUGGGAAUAAAACGUUCCACGUGUGGGAUUUUGUAUGUACCAUAUGAAUAAGGAUCGGCAAACUCCGUGCCAGCAGCCGCGGUAAUACGGAGGGUCCGAGCGUUAUCCGGAUUUAUUGGGUUUAAAGGGAGCGUAGGUGGAUUGUUAAGUCAGUUGUGAAAGUUUGCGGCUCAACCGUAAAAUUGCAGUUGAAACUGGCAGUCUUGAGUACAGUAGAGGUGUGCGGAAUUCGUGGUGUAGCGGUGAAAUGCUUAGAUAUCACGAAGAACUCCGAUUGCGAAGGCAGUUCACUGGACUGCAACUGACACUGAGGCUCGAAAGUGUGGGUAUCAAACAGGAUUAGAUACCCCGGUAGUC
RNAcentral lists this ribosomal RNA (460 nucleotides) under uncultured bacterium. RNAcentral's name for it is "partial 16S ribosomal RNA". It matches the Rfam family "Bacterial small subunit ribosomal RNA", at positions 338 to 795 of the family's 1533-position model. The record is from RNAcentral.